CAACCGGGCCCGGCCCGGCCCGGCCCGGCCCCAGCCCCAGCCCCAGCCCCAGCCCCGGGCAGGCGGCGUGGAAAUGAGAUGCACAUUUACCCUUGACGCAGGGCAGGCCCGGCAGCGCCUCCCAGGGAGCCACGAGCCCAGGCCGAGGGGGCCCCGUCUCUGCACCGGACCCGGGCAGGCCGGCACGAGCCGGCCGAGGCGCCGCCGAGCUGCAGGGCGAGACGGGCAGGUAGCACAAGUCCCGCGAGCAGCCUGGGAGCGGGGCAGCCGCGGCCUUGGAAGUGAUCCUGGGUGUCGCCCGCCCUCGCCAGCGUGUCAGCAGGGCUCCCUGCUCCGGCCCGUCGCUCGGCGCUGCUCGGGACACCGCAGCGCCAGGCCCUGCCCUUCCCAGCCUGGGCUGCGCGGGAGCCUCUGCCCGACACCGCAGCAGAGCGGGCACCGGGCAAGCGGGACAGGCCCCGGCCCCAGCGCCGGGACGGGCGGGGGCGGGGGCCGGGCUGGACCAGGCCUGCUGGUGCGCCGAGCCACGCGGCCGUGCAGAGCCUUGCCUUCCAAUAAACGGGUGUGAUUCACUCCAAAUGUGGACGCGUUUUAUUCCCUAAUCCCAUCGAUAUUAUUGCCCACAGAUGAGCGCAGACAAAAUUCAAACGUGUGUUUCGUAUUAAGGAAAACAGACUCCAGUUCUGACCUCACCAAUCCCUCUCUCUCUCUCUCUCUCUCUCUCUCUUUUGUCCCGAAAGCACAGGGACAAGAUCCCCAUUUGGGCGACAAAGAGAAUCAUUUCCAAAUGAGCUCCUUACCUUCUGUCACCCUUGGUCUCGCUAAACCUCAGGUUCACAUGCCAAGAGCCUGGGGAUCGAUCCCAAGGAUACACGAGGCUUUUUGCUUGGGGGCUGUUCAGAGCUUCGAGCACUUUCAGUUUUAGUUUAAAAACCAAACUCGCAGACAGCACAAUGAGCCCUCUUCCACAACAGGCCCAACCCAACGGCCUUACAUCUGGUUUUUAUUUCGCAGCCUAGGCAGGGGAUGUUGAUCAGUGUAUUUGUCAAGAUUUAAAUGUAAGGCAACGAGAAGAAGC
RNAcentral lists this long non-coding RNA (1078 nucleotides) under Crocodylus porosus (Australian saltwater crocodile). RNAcentral describes it as "lncRNA (ENSCPRG00005013831.1)". Lineage: Eukaryota; Metazoa; Chordata; Crocodylia; Crocodylidae. The record is from RNAcentral.